This 20007-nucleotide long non-coding RNA is filed under the name Gossypium raimondii (Peruvian cotton). RNAcentral's name for it is "long non-coding RNA (GRAI_LNC008415)". Lineage: Eukaryota; Viridiplantae; Streptophyta; Magnoliopsida; Malvales; Malvaceae. The record is from RNAcentral.
CAGCGAACGGGUUUUCAUCGAAACGACCAGCCAUCACCUUUUUAAGUGUUUUUUUUCUUUUUUCUUUUUAUCGAUAACAAUAAAAACUGAAAAUGGGAGAAUAAUACAAGGAAGAUGAAAACUAGAGAGGAGAAAAAGGAGAAGAAGCUUGGAGGAGAAGAGAAUUGAAAAACUGGGAGGUCAAAGGAAAUUUGGGGCUAUGAAUAAAGUUCUAGAGAGAGAAAACGUGGUUUCCCUGGGGAAGAAGAGGUAGAGGUAGAGAGGGGGAAUGAGAAGUUGGACUUUUCGGUUAACAGUCAGUUUUGUUGAAUAUAAUAUAUUGUGACGAAACAGCGGGAAAAUACAUUAUUCUCUAUUCUCCCUUUUGUCCCUUUCUUUUGAUAGUGUAGAUAACAUAUAUGUGCAUGGUGGGAAAGGUGAAAAUAUAGAAAGAAAAUUACUUCUAUUCUCUCAUCAUUUCCAUUUGAAAGGAUUUAUUUUCCAUUCAUUCUUCUCAUCUAAUACACCAUUAGCCUUGUAUGUAUGGAAAUCAGGUUUGAGAGCAUAUGGAAAUAUUUUGGUUUUUGACAAAAAGAAAUUAUGAGUUAUUAGAAUAAUUUUUAAAUUUUUUAAUAUAUUUUUAGUGUUUUUUUUAAUUUAUUAAACUCUAUUAAAUGGAUUUAGUUUAGCUAACAAAUUUCUUAAGAUGAAUUUAAGUUUGAUAUAUUUCAAAUUAAGGUUUCAACUUUUUGAAGGUAAGAAUUGAAGUUCAACUUUAAGAUGAUAUUAUUAACUAAACCAUAAAUAAAAUGAUAAAAUCAAUAUUUACUAUUAUUUAAGUAUUUUAUUAAGUUGUCGCCUGAGUCUUAGCUCGAUUGACAUGGGUAUUGUUGUUAAUACAGGAGGAGGACGUGGGUUCAAAUGCGCUGAAACUAGGGGUGAGCAUUCGAUCCAAUCGAAUUGAAUCGAUUCGAAAAUUUUCGAGUUAAUCGAGUUUUCGGAUCUCAUUUUAUCAUCCUAACUUUAUUUGAAGUUUUCUCGAAUCGAGUCGAGUGAGAUAGAAUUCGAAUCGAAUCGAAUCCAAUAUAUUUGUUCGAGUUAAAUUUUAAAAAAUAAUUUUGGGUCCUUGUAACCAUUGUCACCCAUCGUAAUAAAAUUUGUCCACAUUAAUCAAUUUUUUUAUUAACUUUCAUCACCUCAUAAUUUAUUUAUUAAUUUUUUAUCUACUGGUUAGCUUCUUUGCUUGCUUAGUUGUUUCAAUUAUCUUCAGAUUCUUGUCACUAUGUAUUUUGGAAUUAAAAAAUAUACUAAAUGUAAAAAUAUGAUUUUUUAAUAAAAUUUAUUUCAAAAAUAAAAUGUGAAAUUGAUACCAAUAUAAAAUUUUAACACAAAUAUUUUAUGGCAUAAUUAAUAAUUCAAUUUUAAUAUAAAUAUUCAAUAUGACUAAACAAUUCAAUAAUAUAAAUAAUAUAAAAUGUGAAAUUUAAUUUAAUAAUAUAAAUAGUAGAUAUAAAUAAAAUUAUUACUAUUUAUGUUUAGUGAUUUUUUUUUGGAUAAUUUUGAUUUUUUAUUUGAGAGUAAAGGGUGAGAAAUAAAAGUUUAGGGGGAAAAUAAAAAGAUUUGGGGAAUAAAAGUUCGAGGGAAAGUAAAAUUUUGGAGGGAAAAUAUUAAAAAAAAUUGGAGGGGGGAGGGUUUGGGAUAGAUGGGAGGUGGGAUGGGAAGGGAAUAAAAGUUUUAGGGGAAAAGUGGGAGGGAGUAAAACUUUGGGGGGAAAAUAAAAGGUUUUGAGGGUUUUGGGGAGUAAAAUUUUGAGAAAAAGUAAAUGGGAGAGUAAAAUUUUGGUGGGAAAUAGAUUUUGAGUAGAUUGGGGGGUUGGGAGGGGAGGAGAGUAAAAGUUUUGGGGGGAAAGUGGGAAGGAGUAAAAGUUUUGAGGGAAAAGUAAAAAGGUUUGGGAGUUUGGGGUAAAAAUAUAAAAUAUUAUAGUUUGAUAUUCGAAUUAUUCGAAUUAUUCGAGUUAUUCGAAUUAGAAAACUCAACUUGAUUCGAACUCGAAAUUUGAAAAAAAAAUUCGAAUUGACUCGAAUAACUCGACUCGUUUAACUCAAAAUUCAAAUUUUUUUUUUAUUUUUUCGAGUCGAAUCGAGUUUUGCUCACCCCUAGCUGAAACACAUUAUUCUCCUAUUUAUGGGUUGGGAAUGGGGUAUGGGUAGUUCUAGACAUUAUAUUAAAAAAACAACCAAUAUUUUAUUAAGUUGGUGUUACACUUGAUUGGGUCAUCAACUCAAUUAUAAAAUUAUAGAAAUAUUCAUGUUUUUAGAUUAUAAUUAAUAUUAUUAUGAUAACAUUUUUAUCUUUUCAUACAUUUAUAUAAUUUUUAAAUUAAAAAAUAUAAAUUUACUACCACUUUACUUUUAUUCAAAUAAAUUUAAAAAAAAUAACAUAAAAUUUUGUAAAUGAAGAAAAUCUAGUUUAAUAUAAAAUAUUGAGUCCACACUAAUUUUAAAUUUGAUUCUUAAACGAAAAGGCUCUUCUAAAAUAGGCAUUUGUUAGAAACAUUUGAAGGAGUGGAUUUGACAAAAAUCUGCCAACCCCACCCAAAGUCACUUUCAUCUCUAACAACCACCCAUAAAAUUUUCAAUAAAGAAUUAUGUAUGAAUUCAAAAUUAUUUAUUAUUUGCACUAAUAUUUAGAAUAAAAUUAAAUAAGAUUUAAAACUCAUAUUCAUAUAUUACUAUUCUUUAAAUUAAUCUAUUUAUUUUUUUAAUUAAAAGGAUGAAACACCUACCUCAUUUUUAGUUUUAAAAAAAGUAAAUAUAAUUUUACUAUAAUUUUUAAUUUUAUCUAAGUCGUCAACUUAGUUAUAAAAUUACAAAAAUAUUCAUUGUUUAGUAAUGCAAUACAAUUAAAAAAUUUUGACUAUCAAAAUAAUCUUAAAAAAACAUAAAAAAAAUAAAUUUUGGGGGGUUUUUUUACAUGAAUAAUACAAAAAAAUUAAUUAUGGAAAUGAGACAUGUUGUAGAUUAUUUAGCUAAAUUAACAAUAUAUGUCAUUUUUUUAUUUGGCCUUUUAGGCCUUUUUUUUAAAAAAUUUAGGGAAAUAGGUCCUUUUUGGAGAGAGAAAGGAAAGUCGCGUCCAACUGAGCGCGUUUUCAUCCUCUCUCCUAGGGUUAGAGUGUAACACCCAUAACCUGUUUUCAUCGCUAGAAUAGAGUUACGGAGUAUUACUGUGCAUCUCAGAACUUUUCAUAUAAUUGGCAUCUAAUUAUAAAAUAAAUUUCAUAAAUACAUAUAUGAUUCAUAAUGAAAUAGAACAUACAUUUAUGACAUUAAAUCGAGCCUUCGAAGCCUUAAAAAUAGGUUAGGAACAUUCAGGGACCAAAUCAGAACAAAUUAGAACAUUCAGGGAAAAAUUAAAAUUUUUCACUACAAGGCUUACACGGCCGUGUGUCUAGCCUACAAACUCAUGUGCUCAAUAGUGUGCUCACCCGUGUAACUCACUGACUUGGGCGACACACUCGUGUCUUAGCUCAUGUACCAGCUCAUAUGAACCAUGCACCUAACACGCUUAAGGCACAUGCCCGUAUGGGCUACCCGUGUGCAACACACAGUCGUAUAACAGUCCAUGUCCCAAGCUGUAUGUGUGUAAAAGUGACCAAACCCAAGCCUAUUCUUCAUGCAAUUGUAUAGGUAUCUAUACCAACUCAUUUUACAUAUUUACAAGUCUAUAAACACACUUUAAAUGAACCAAAACAUGAUAUUUCCAUUCAUUUAAAACCAGCAAAAGUAUCAUGUACCAAACACAUUAUAAUGCUCAUGCUACUCAUUAUCAAACACCUAUCUAUAAACUAUAAUAUACACCAACUAACACAUUCUAAACACAUCAUUCCAACCUAAUAUGACACUUACCAUCUUGACCUCCUACUUAAGUUUACUUAAGGUUAAUAACCAUACCACAAAGACUACCAUUCAUUCAUCAAGUACAAAACAUCACACAUAGCCAAGAAUUAUAGCAUAAUAACCAUUUUCCCUACUACAUGCCAUAUAAGCCAAAUGUUUACAAAAUCUACCAAAAGAGUCUUCGGGAUAGUGUGAUUCUACGAAUUGAUCUGAUCUCCUAAUCACAAAAUGUAACCUACAAAACAAGGACAAAGCACAAGUAAGCUUACUUGAAGCUUAGUAAGUUCAUUAAAUCAAAUGAUACAUAUUACCAAAUUUAACAUAACAAAUCAAAUUAUAAAAUUAAAUAACAAAGUUCCUGUCAAUCAUAGCUCACAGCAGGUGAGUAUUGUAUAGUAUAUUAAUUCAAAUCAUAUUUUAAAGUCAUAAUUUAGUAAGAUCUCAUUUCAGGUAUCACUCAUUCGAGUUAACUUCAAAAUUUUGAUCGACUCACGAUGUUGCUCACACAAGCUGCAGAGAAUCUGCAACACAUGCAGAUCUCAAGCUAUCGCUACAGUCUGUACCACCGGUACAUAGUACCUACUAAAUAUUCACCGGCUCAAGGCUUGAUAGACAACACUGACUCAAGGCCUGAUAUAUAACAUCGACUCGAGGUUUGCUAUUCAGAAACAUCACGUGUUCACUUAUUCAUUUAUUAUUUAUUCUCAAAUCAUUCAAUAGUUAAGUUUAACACUGGAUCUAAUUAUAAUAAACAUGUAAUAUAUAAGGAAUCAUCGCAACAUAAAAGAAAUAUUACGAACUUACCUAACUAAACUGUAGCACUGUAAGGUACAAGGACUAUUUUGUAACUUCUUUAUGCCUCGAUUUUUAACCCAUUCUUGAUCUAGAAUAAAAAUUUCAUUCAACCAGCUAAUUCCAACAGUAAAAUUAACUCAUUUUAUGUAAUUAAGUCCAUUUUGACAUUUUUACAAAAUUUCCCCAAUAUUUUACUUUUAUGCAAUUUAGUCUCUAACUCAAAACAUGCAAUUUAACCAUUUUUAUUCAAAUUUCAACUUAUCCGAAUAUUGAAGUGCCUUUCUAUAGCCCAUUUUUGCAAUUAUUUCACAUCAAGUACAAGUAACUUUGUCAUUUUAACAUUUUAGUCCUUAAACGUUAAAAUCAUCAAAAACUACUUUACAAAAUUGUCCUAUUUAACAACCACACUUAAUAGUCCAUCAUAAGAUUCCAAGAAUAUACAAAACUCAUCAAUGGCAUAAUCCACAACAUUUAACAGUUUUACAAAUUAGUCACCAGAUUAGCUAGAUUGAGCUAAUACGAGCUCAAAAAUAUAAAAAUUACUAAAAACAUGUGAGGUUUACUCACUUAAUUGAAGAACUCAAGCUUGGUUUAAGCUUCCAUGCCCUAGCUGUGGUGUUUUAGUUCUCUCCCCAUGAAGAAGAAAGGAAAUGCUAAUUUUAUCUUUUAAUUUCUUUAAUUUAACUUACCUUUUUAACUAUUUACUAAAUUAACCCUUAAAAAAUUAAAAGUAAAUAGCAUUUACUUUCUUUUAAUUCAAUUGGUUAAAAUUCCUCAAAUCAAAAUUCAUUAUAAAAUUACUAUUGACUCGUAUAAUUUAAAUACUAAUUAUACGAACUUACUCGUUGAAUUUGUGAUAUCAAAACCACUGAAAAACAUACUGUUACAUAGGUUUUUUUAAUUUUGUUAGGUUUAAGGUUUUUGUUAAGGUUAGGAUUUUUUAAGGGUUUAGUGUUUGGGUUUAGAGGUGAAACCACGAAAUUUUAUAGGUAGUUGAAGGGUUGAGGGUGUGAUAAUGCGCCUCAGAACACAUAUAUUUCAUAUGUCAUGACGGGAUAUGAUCAUUGCCUUAAAAACUCAUUUUGGGGAAGUCAAGUUUUGGGGUGACAAUGCUUGAUACGAUCACAGAUCAAAGUCUAGGUCGAGGUCCCAGUUGGCAGUCAUGAUGCGAUCAUGGGUUAGAGUAUAAUUAGGGGAGAGUUUACGGUUGUUAUGCAGUCACGAAUUCAAGCUUUUUAGAUACUCACAAAUGGUGCCUUAUAUAUACCAUACAAAAGGUUAAAGCCAUAAUCAUAGGGAAAAAUAGAGGGAUUUCUUAUAUAAUCAAUGUAAUUUUUUCUCUAUUUCCAAACAACCAGUAUAUUUAACCUUUUAUUCUUAUUCAAAGGCUGACACUGAGGUGGACACAAGAGGCCUUUCAAGCGUUAAGUGGAUGUUUCGACAUAGUAGAAGUGAAACUCAAGUUGAUGCGACAAUGGUUGUAGCUAUUAGUAAAUUAUUUAAUAACGACAACCAUUGUCACCCAGAAAAGAGCAUCACCUUUACUGCACCGCAACAACUGCUCCUUCCCUGAGAGUCCUCAUGUAUACACAGCAACGCUGACCUUUGGAUAAGAAUGAAGGUUAAAGGUACCAACUUCCUCGAAAUAGAGAAAAACAUUACGCCGAUUAUAACAGAAAGCCUAAUGGUUUUUCUGUAUGAUUAUACCAUCAAGCUUCUAUAUGAUAUUUAUAAGGCAACAUUUUCAGGUAUCCAAAAAGUUUGAGCUUGUAGUCGCAUAAUGACCAUCAACUAGCUCUUUCGUUAUACCCCGAUCUAUGACCGCAUAACGGUCAUCGAUUGAGGCCGAUGCUUAGACUUCCACCCAUGAUCGUACAAUGCAAAAUCACCUCAGAACUCGGCUUCCACAGGAUAGGUUUCGAAGGUAAUGGUCUCAUAUCGGCAGAAAAUAUGAAAUGUGUGUGUCUCGAAAUGAUAUCGUAUCACCGACGACUCAAGAAUACCUCGAAUGAUUGAAAUUUUAUUAAUGACCGAAAUUUUUAGCACUAAGAAAUAUUGUAUAGUGGAGGGAUAGAUAGGAUGGGAGAGAAGAUGUUUGAGGGAUGGUGAAGUAUAGAGUAGGAGACCUCUUUUAUAAGCGUAGGGGAAAUGUGAGAUUACAAAGUAAAAAAUUCUCACACCUUAUAUCAGUGAGGUGUACAAACUAGAAAGUAUGCAUAGUGUAUAGAGUCUUAAGUUCCCACUCGUCCUAGAUGAGAAUGUGUGGAUGCUAAUGUCCAACGCACCGUACGAGUUAGCGACAAACAUGAACUUACGUCGUGUCCCGAAAGUUCACCCAAAUUUCACUAGAUAUGUACCAAUAUGGGUAUUCAAGAGAGGGACAAUCAAUAGAGGUUAUGUAGGUACUGUAGAAACCUAGGGCAUACGAAUACAACAUAUUCUAUAUUGAAGGGUACAUUGGAGCCUCAACGUUGCUUGCAUUCAUUUUUAGGGUAAAAAAUUUGUAAUAUUUUUAACUUGCAUUUGAACUGUAUUUGUCAUUGUCUACUAGUUUGAUAAAGAUGCCUUUCCAAAGUUGCAUGUUUCAUAUCAAAUAUUAAAUAUAUCAAAAUUUACAUUAGAUUUUAACAAAGACAAAUAUGAGUUGUAAUAGGAAUAUACAAAAAAAUUUGUUUAUUUAUUGAUGUUAAUCAUUUUUACAUUGCAAUAAGUAAAUAAAAAAAUCAUUAGUGUCUUUGAGCCAAAUGUGUACCAUAUAGUGGUGGCUGACGGGUGCGAGCAAGAUUUCUAUAUAUAACUAGUGCUACCAGUUCAUCCACUUGAUCGUCACCAUCGCCUUCAUCUUUUUCGUCUUCACCUCUACCCUCGUGCUCAUACUCGUCUCCAUCAUGGUCUUUUUCUUCAUCUUCAUCUCUACUCUCUGCUUCGUCUUCAUCUUCAUCUUUGUCUCCAUUGUCUUUCUUCGUGCUUGAGUGUGGUGUCAUCCUAGCCUUCUAUCAUGUGUCUUCCACUCCACAAGAAGAUGGUUACGCCAAUGAUCCACCUCGAUAAAAUAAUGAUGCAAUGGGUGUUUGUGACACUAUCAGUGAUGUUACAAAAUCUAGAUUCGUCGACAUUGACCCGGGCAUCGAAACUGGCAUAAAUAACUAGAUCGGUAAUGGUACAUGCAUCGGCAUCUAGAUUGACAUUUGCGUCGAUAUUUGGAUCGGUAUUUGCAUCGAUAUCGAUGUUGACAUGGGGGUGUAAAAUGUGGGGGACAUUGGUGUCCCGAAAUAUGUACCUAUAGGAAGGGUGGAAGCAGGGAUAUGCAGUGGUGCCCAGUAUGGUAGUUGUAAAUAAAACAUGAGGUUAAGGAAAUUAACAAAAAUAAGUGGAGUGACUUGACCAGGAUGUGGCAUAGACAUAGGCAACAUUUGUUCAGUCAGAGCCAAUGACGAACCUAUCGUACGACAACGUCCGAACGUAUGCUGCUGGGGCAGUCUUCAUGGCCUCUUUGGAUGAAGUUGUUUACUCCUCGCCUCAACCGAUAACAGAUAUGGCUUCCCAGUAAGCUGAACCAUGACAAGUACUCUAAAUAAGUCGUCAUGUCUGAUAAGAAAAAUGGUUUGCAAAUAGGUAAGAAUUCCAUCCUACGAUCCCAAGCGUCGAUGUACUCCUUGUGAAUGUCUUUCCAAUUUUCGUCGUUUUUCCCCCGCAAGUCCACCUUGUGCAGUGCUUCUAUGUCCUACAGUGGCGGCCAAAUUUGUUUCCUCCACCCGAACUGUCACAUCACUUAAUCUUAUUCGUGCAUUUCCACUGUCGCAUAUACUAUCAACGAUACCUUCAUAUCCCACAUACUCUAAUUGGCCAAAAAUUCUUGCGGGACGUAUUCUAUGAUAUCCAGCUCGGCGUAUGACAUCCAUUCAAAUUGUAGUGCACAAUUUUAAAUUCUAUUAUGUACAAAAUUUUAUUUUACAAAUCAUUGCAUAAUUAUGAUAGGUUAGAAAGAAUAAGUAACUAACAUUGGCUUCCAAGCGUUGAUUUAACAACGGCUUGAUAUCUUUAAGCUACUCGGGUAAUCUCACAUAGCUUGGCUCAUGGCUCCACCUAUACAAGUGAUAUGUAAAUUCAAACAUAUAAUAAAUAAACUAUAUUUACUAUACAAACUACAUAUUUAUUAAGAAAUGAUUUUUACCUUGUCACCAAUGGGAACAUGAAUGAGUCAGUAACUUAGGGACAUAGAAAUGGUAGUCGCCACCAAGUCCACGACUACAGCAGGGCAGACAACCAUCAAUUGACAUCUUAUCCGAUUCCGUUACUCGUAACAACUCCCGGUACAAUGCGACUAACACAGCUGAUCCCCAACUCAAUCGUUCGUUUUCUUUGAAGUCGACUAGGUGUAGUAGUCACCUUAUGUGUACCAAAUUUUGAGAUUUAUCGGGCAUUAGAAUGCCCCCAAUUAGCUUGAGGAUGAACGUUCGAGCGUAUUGUUCUUUGACGACAUUGAGCGCGUCCUUAGGAAGUUCUUUGAAAUUCGUUUCCAACCACUUAAUAUGUACUUGACCACUUUAAAACCUAUUCGACAUCUUCCCAACAAUGCAUCGCAAAGGUCUUCUAUAUUGAGAAUGACCGUUGACCCUGUGACGACUGGCCCACCUAUUGGUAAGCCGAGUUGUAAAGCUAUGUCUUCGAGUGUGAUUGUACACUUGCCGCAUGGAAGAUAGCUAGUGUGUGUCUCAGGCCUCUAUCUUUCCACGAAUGCACUAAUAACUGUAGAAUCAAGUUUGUAGCCUCCGAGCAUACGAGAUGCAUGCAAGAAUCCUGUGUCUUAUAAGUAACCACGAAUUUCUGUGAUUGGACCAUUUGACAAAUUAUGUAUGAACCCUUUCAAAACACGAUCAUUCACCUAUUUAUAUUGACAAAAAAAUUAAUUUAAAAUAUUUUUACAAAUAAAAAAAUUUAAAUUUUCGUCUUAUCAUUAUCGCUUGAGCGACGAAAAUGUGCUUGUUAUCGAAACGAAUCAGAGAGGUUGUCAUUCGUGAAAAUUCAAUUGAAACAAAUAAAAUAUGAAAUAAUUAAAAAAUAAUAUUUUGAAAUGAGCGUAUCGGAAAAUUUAAAACAGAACUUGAGAGAAUUAAGAGAGUUGAGAGUUUAGAAAGAAUUGAAAAUGUAGGAUUUGAGUGAAAAUAAAAAUAAAAAUGACACAUGGUAUUUAUAGGAAAAAAAUUGAUCGUUUGGCCCUUUAAAUUUUUUUACCUUUGCUAGCCAACGUUCAAAAAGUCGUUGGAGGAAAAUGCGCUCAGUUGGACGCACUUUUCCUUUCUCUCUUCAAAAACAAACUAUUUUCCUAAAUUAAAAAAAAAGGCCUAAAAUGCCAAAAAAACAUAUAUAGUUAAUUUAACCAGAUUAUUUAUGAUAAUGGUAUAUUUUCAAUGGUAAACUUAGAUGUCGUCAAUGUGUCAAGUGGUAUUAAUCCCAAAAGCCAUCCAAUCAUAAGGGGAAAAGAAAUUAUUUUUAAAGUGGUUUUGCCUCAGGCAACACCAAAAAUCAUUUGUAUUUUUCUUUAAAUAUUGAAUAAAUACAAAAAAAAAAUUAUGUUUUUAAGUGGUGUCACCUAAUAGGUUGACGACACUGGUUUAAAAUUUUUAAAAAAAUUGGCAUAGGGUGAAAGGAUGUAGAGGUGUGUGCCGGUACAGUAAAAAAUCUAGUGCCGACAAUGUAUCAAGAGACACAAAAAAAUACAAUAUUUGACACUGGUGCUGCCUGAUAAUAUGAUGGCAUGAAAAAACUAUUUUGUGCCUCAUAAUAGAUUAUUUUUUAUGCUGGUACCGCUUAAUACAUUAAUGUAACUGUACAAAAUAUACUAUUUAUAUAAAGUUGUGUUUAAUUGAUUUUGUUAUGAGUUGUCUGUAGUUUUGAAUUUUGGAAACCGUGCUUUUUUUUUUAUAAAUUUGGAAUUCUUUCACAUGAGAGAAUAUUAAAAUUGAACUUCAAUUUAGUCCAUAGUUACAUUGGGAAACCAAGUAUAUAUUUUUCACCACCAUUAAAUUAAAUAUUAUAAAAUAAAGCUUUACAUGCCAGAUUUUGCUCGGGUCUAAAAGACCCGCAUUACAGACAGGCCCAUAUGGCCCAAUUAAUAAAACAAACGAGGGCCCAAACUACGGUGGCCCAAAUUACAGACAUAAACCCUAGGGUUUCAACAGCGCCGCAAGCCACGAGCGUAUUCGGUCUUCACCUGCGCAUCAAGGAAAAACGAAAAUGGAAAGUGAAUCAAAAUAUUUGUAAAUCAAAUCAAAAAACAGAUUUGUUUCCUUUUUAGAUUUAUUUCAUACGGCUAUAAAAUAGCCAUUGUAAUAUUGUAAGUGUCGGAUUCGAAAUCAAUAAAAAGCACGAUUUUUACAACACAAAGAGAGAAACAGCAAAAUCUAAGGUUGUUUUAUAUUCUGUUAUUUAUUUAUCUAUUAUUAUUUGUUUAUAUACUAUUAAUAAAUAAGGAAAAAGAGAGAAACAACCUAUGUUUUGAGGCCCAGAUUGCCGUGGAUGGCCGAGGGUGUCGUCUCCGAUGAAAGACAACCGGAAGCCGGAAGGUUUCUCUGCUUUUAGGGGCACUUUCGUUGAUAUUUCGCGAUAUUUGAGCCCGGAUUUAGGCUCAGGGGGUUGAGAAGGUCAAACCGGGGGUUUUCCCCUUUUCCGGCCACCGCAGACGGUGGUGCCGGUGCCGGAGAUCGGUGGCCGACACGGUGGCCGACGACUGGCCGAUGACUGAACCGGAGGCCGGUGCCCGAAGGUUGAGAGCUCUUUUUAAAAAGAGAUUUUCGUUUUUUUUUGAAGGAUUUAAAAAAUGAAAUUUUUGUUUAUAAUUUUGGCUUAAAUAGCCAAUUGAAAACGGCGCCGUUUUGAAGGGAGGAUUCGCGUGUCAACCCGACCAGGACCCAGUUUCUGCGUGUUUUUCAUACGGAGGGGCAAAUUGCGCUUUUGGCCCCUCCGCCUUUUAAUAUAUUUCCAAUUAAGUAUUUUUGUGUUUUUAAAUUCGGCCUUUAAUUUAUUUUAAAUUCCAAUUUAAUCCUUUUGAACGACACCGUUUUAGAGGAGAAGGGAAAAUUACCCUUCCAGCCCCUCUAUGUAAUUUGCGCGUUCAAUUUAGUCCUCCAGACUUCAAUUAUUUGCGAAUUUGCCCUAUUUUUUAUCACAUUUUAAAAUUAGUCAUUUUAGAAUUAAUUGAUUUCAAAAUAUAUAUAUAUAUAUUUUAAGUUUAUACAUGUAAUUAUUAUUUUUAUGAUUUAUAUAUUUAUUAUCUUAUAUAUAUGUAAUUAUUAUUUUUAUGAUUUAUAUAUUUAUUACCUUAUAUAUAUAUGUACGUAUAUAUAUUAUACUUUCUAUCCAUAUUUUAUAAUUUCUAUAUAUAUAUAUAUUUUUUUUAUUCUCAUGAAUGUAUUAUAUAUAUAAAUAUAUUUUUUAUAUAAAUUUUAUAUUUUUUCCAUAAUUUCAAUGUAUAUAUUAUGUACUUUCUUUUCUUUAUUUUUUUAUAUGUUUGUUGAUUUAUGUUUUCAUAUUUUUUUAUUUUGCUCAUUUAUUUGAUACUUUGCAUGUCAUUUUUUUAUUUAUUUGUUUAUCUUAUUUCUAUACAAUUGUCGUAUUUAUUAUUGUUAUUUGCUAUUGCGACAUUUAUACACGCAUUCAAUAUAACAUUACAUCAUUUUUUUUACUCGAUUUCAAACUUUUCAAAAUUAAGAUAAUGCUUGUAUUUAUGAUUUUCAAGGAAAUUGAGCCCUAACGUAUUGGGUUCCGAUUUUCUUCGUUAAAUCUAACAAUCGAGCAUUUCUCUUUAAUCAAAAAAUAAGAACUCAUUAUUGGGAAUUCAACACGUUGUGUCCUAACGUAUUGGAUGUGACGCAUUGAUUUCUCGAAAUGAAUUUUUUUUUCUAAAAAAAUAAGAAAGGAAAUAUUUCGAGUUUGGGAUUUUGGAGGAAUUGUGCCCUAACGUAUUGGGCCGCGAUUUCUUAAAUCUUGAAUAAAUGGAUAUUCUUUUAAAUUUUUAUUACACGAGUAUUCUGGCCUAAUUCAUUUUUGAGGAAAUUAGAUUGUCGUGCCCUAACGCAUUGGGUGUGGUAUUUUCUUUCUCUGAAAUGAUAAGGGUCUUAAUACGUAACGUUUAAAGUUUUUGCUAAGGAUUAUAUUUUUCAAAUUUUCGACAUUAAGACAUUAAUUAAUUAACUAGGUGCCAAUUUUUUGGGCGUUAUGAGGGUGCUAAUCCUUCCUCAUACGUAACCGACUCCUGGACCCGUUUUUCUAAAAUUCGUAGACCAAAGUCAUUUUUAGGUGAUCCAAUCACACCUUAAUAAAAGAUUGGUGGCGACUCCCAAUUUUCAUUUUUUAAAGUCGACAAUCUAAAAUUUUUGUUUUUUUCAAAAUGGUUUCGACAAAAGCAUUUGAUUUAUUUAUAAUUUUAUAUCUAUAGUAUAUAUUUUAGAUAUGGGUAAACUACGUUAUUAGUCACUGAACUAUUAGUAAGAUUUGUUUUGAUCACUCAACCUUAAAAAAUUACAAAAUGGUCAUUGAACUGUUUAAAAUUUUUUAUUUAAGCCAUUAGGAUAUAAAGUUUUUUUUUAAGUGCAACUAGUGAGCUCCAAUGGAUGAUUCAAUGAUCGAUAUGGUGGAUCAAUACCUAUUGACAAACAGAAGAACAUACCCUAGGUUCAAGUAAAUUUGAUGAUCAAUGUCGGAGAUUGAAAAAGAAAGUUGUUUGGAUUUUAGUUCGCAGAUUCUAACGUUCAAAGUUGUUUCAUGAAAUAAAAUUAAACUGUAGUAAAGAAGGUGAAUGUGAAUUUUCGAUUGGUGCAGGUGGUGCGAACAGAAAAGACCAUACUGCAACAAUUUUAACAACCCAACUCAAUAACUUAAAUGAAAACUUUUGAAUAGUUUGGUGACCAUUUUGUAACAUUUUAAAGUUAAGUGACUAAAACAAAAACUUACCUAUAGUUUAAUGACUAAUGGUGUAGUUUACCCUUUAGAUAUUAUUGUAAUCAGUGGGGUCAAUUGCGAAGGUGAGAAUUGAGGUAAUUACAAACAAUUAUACUAAAAUAUAAUUACUCUAUGGCUUUUCAGGCACAACUGUAAAUUAUUUAAGUUUUAAAAAAAUAUUUUCAUACAAUAAAAUUUUAAAUUUAUAAUGAAAUUUAUUUUUUAAAGUUUAAUUAUAUAUUACUUUACUAAUUUUGUCAAAAUAAUCUAAAAAUUUUGUUGAUGAUAAUUAAUUUCUCAUAUAUUUUCGUCCACUAAAUAUUUAAUUAAAUUACAUAGUAUCUAUUAUAAAUUAUUAAAACGAAUUUUAACUAAAUUACAUAGUAUUUGUUAUAAUUAUUCAUACUAAUUUUAAUUAAAUUAUAUAGUACUCAUUAUUUAUUAAGACUUAGCCAAAGACCAACCGAUGAUGGCAAGAAGUACAUGGUUAUUGGUAUGGGGAGAACAAUCCAACAAAUACAGAAUCAGGGGCAAAUCCAUAAAAAAUUUUAGGGAUUGAUAUUGAAUUAUAAAAUUUUUGAGAGAUCAAAGUGUAAUUUGAUCAUGUAUUAACUUAUGCUUUAUUCAUUUUUAAAGGAUAUUUAAUUUUUGGGGCUUGAAAUGCAAUUUUACUAUAUGUUAAUUUUUAUAAAAGGACUAAAAGGCUAUUUUUCAAAUUUUUGAGGGGUAGGAGGCACAAUGCUCAUACUCACCCCUUGCAUAAAAUACUUAAUUUUCCUGUUAACUUUAUUAACAGAUAAGAAUUUUCAUAGAGUUGGCAGUCGAUGAAAAGGAAAGGUUGAAAAAUCAAAAUGAGAUUGACUUGUAAUCAUAAUAAUAAAAAAAGAAAAGCGCGGUUGAUGCGUAACGUUUGGUGUCAUAGCUUAAUCAACUCGAGGCUGCUCCAUAAAUUCCUCUUUCUAGAAGAAAAACUCACGCACACCAAAUACAAAUUUAUUACAUAAGAUGUGAAACUUGUGGUCAAAUCUAAUAUACAGUUAACCAAAGACUGAAUGGUUUUGCAGCAAAUUAGGAAGAUAUGAAGAUGUCAAUGUCAGGUCACAUACAAAGACCUUUCCGACCAACAGAAAUGUAUUUACAAAUGACAAAAGCCAGGUUGAAAGUGAUGUUUUAAUAGAUGGAUAUAUCUCUAUCACGUCCUACGUGAUUUCUUUGCUAGCUUUAUAAGCUUAUUUCGGGUGCUGCCAUGCCACCUCCUCUUGCAGCAUUACGUUUUGCCUCCGCUGUCUUUCCACUGCCACGGAAAUACCUAUAAACUCUCUGCCAAAAAAACAAAAAGCAUGGGUAAUUCGCGUGUGUUAGAAGUCUCUAAUUGCAGCAGCAAAGAGUGGAAUGAACUCAAGAUGUUUGAUGAUAUACCUGAAUGACCCAGAUGCUUAACAGUGACUCAACACAGAAUAACCCAAAUCCUACGAAGUAGAAGAUCUGCGAAUGAAAAGACAAAUGUUUUAAUUAUAAUUAUUUACCCUUUCAUAUCAAACAAUUCAAGAGAAGAAAUGAUCCUUAAUUUUACCCCUACUAAAGCACUGUCGCUCAUAGUACGCAACGCACUCACGAAUCCCCUGCACCACCCCAUAACAGUAUUAAGUCAUGAUCAGGAGUAGGGAAAACUGGAAAACGAAUUGCAUCAGUUUUGGACCAAAAACUAAAAGAGUUUAACUAUCAAAUCCAACAAGUUAUGCCAGUGUCAGACAUGGAUAUGUGUCCAGAAACUUACGAGAAAGAUAACCCAUCAUAAAUUAUAGGCGGAGCAACCGAAGCAUAAAUGCAGAAGCCGAUAUGUAUCUGCAACCAGACAACAAAAAUUGUAUAAAAUUGCUAGCUGUGGGAAUCUGGCAAGGGUUAACCAUAUGCAUAAAACAAUACAUUACCACGUAAAACAUGAAAAACCAUCCGAACUUAAACGCACUGUCUUUCCUGCAACAUGAUUAUAAAGAAAGAUAAUUCAUUAAACAGAAUGAAGAACGUUGUUAAAAAAAUGAUGGAAGAACAGGGUUUUAAUUAGUACCUGCAAGCUCGAUAAAGUGGACGAUACCAUAGUAAAUAAGCUCCUGGUAUGCCUAUAAUGCAAUAGAUGACAGCCAGGAACCAUAUCCUUACGCCUAAAUGUAAUUGUUUUUAAGAUUCAACCAUCAGAAUCUAAAGAUUGUAAUGAAAAAGAAAGAAAACCCAGGAGUAGCAACGGGAUUUCUAAUCCAACCUGACCCUUUGAUGCUUGCUGUGGAAACAGCUAUGACAUUCCAGAAAAGGCAUAGGAUCAACCCUGCAUGAAAUUAACAUUCAUCAUUCUAUCUUGUUCGUAAUAAUAAAAUCUUAGCUAUGCAUUUUGACAAGCAGCUUGCAUACAUGCCUAAGAAGGUGGCGAAAGCUACAUAUAGCAUUCGAUGUAGAUAACUAGGUAUCUCAUUUGCAAUGUCAUGGUGGAUGAUUGGGCAAAAUGGUGGCCAAUUUUUCACAUCCAGAAGCACUCCAGCUACAACCAAAACAAAAUUAACCUUGUGACGGUGAAUCAUUAUUUUAUAUAUGUAUUUUUAAAACCAAGAAGUUGCAUUGCAAAUUUAAGAAUAAAAACAUCAAACCUGCUAAAAUGAACUUGAAGAAGCUUAAAUACCCAGAAGAGAGAGAUUAAAUUUGCAAAGAGUAAGCAAAUUUUAGUGGCAAAUAUUACCUCGUGCUAGAGCUUCUUCUUUCCUUUUAACUUCCUGAUGAAUGCAUGUCCAGGAAAGAUGGUAAUGAGUAAGAAUUACGAACAAGGGCAAUUCAAUGAUUCAUCUACUGCUAAAGGCCAUUGCGUAAGAUAUAUACAUACAUACAUGAAUAUGGUGACUAUGAAUAGUAUACGCUUUGACAUUUCAUUAUAUAAUUAAUAAACAGUGUUGUUGAUGGGAUUUUGAACGUUCGGAGAGACUUUGUGAAAUAUUGUCCACCAGGGUGACGGCUAACAGAUCUCUUCCACAAGUUCGGGCCGGAAUGUCUGUGUUUGAUUUUAUCCUUAACUUUUAUCUCUCGAAUUUGUUUCAAAAUGACUCUGCUGGAGUUCAAGAAACAGUGAGUUUAGAGGGGUGAGUGAAGGAGAACUCAACAUUUGCUCUUGAUGGGAUUUGAACUCAUACUUUCACCAAACAAUUACAGGACUAAGGAGGAUACCAGUUGUGGGUAAGAUUGACAUCUCACACUGAGUGUACGGUGGAAUCCAUGGGAAGUUAAAAUUCUGAUUUGAUAAUAGUAUAGGAUUCAAUUCAUACUUUUUCAUUUUAACGCAUUAACAUAAUUUGGACUAAUCUCUCUUACUAACAAGUAAUAACAGUAAGGAAAAAAAGUCGAUUUAAAGUAAAAUGAUGAAGUGAUAGCAGAAGGACUAAAAACAUAAUUUAGCCAAGUUUUUAACAUGUUUGUAAAGAUGUAUUACCUCUUCCCUCCUUCUAAGUUCAGCUUCCUUGGCCUGGAGUUCUGUCUCUUUCUGCUUCAAAUUCUACAUCUCAAGCAUCAUAAGACAUAUAGUCAGAAAAAAGCUGAUGUGAUGAGUUGGACACCAUCCAGAAAAGUGGGUUUGAAAUUACCGUGGGAUUAUCAAGAUUGAUCUCAAUGACUGGAUUGCGAUCAUAAUUGUAGCUGACAGGUUCAGGAGGAAGAGCUGGAAGCCUUGAGUGCGAAUAUUGUGAAGGGUUCUGCAUGUUUACCAAUCAUCCAUACUCAUAAAAUACGUACAGAUUCUACAUAUAUGUGUAUAGGAUAAAUUAUAAAUAUAGAGUGGAUGGAGAGAUAUGAAACUCACGGAAAAAGGAUUAACUUGAUCUUCUUCUUCGUCAAAAGGGUUCCUAUCGCGGUAACCAGCCAUGGUUCUUGGGAUGUGGAGACGACAUUUUGUUUAGCGAGGGAGAAGUGGUGUUAUAUAGAGAGAGAAAGAAUUUACAAAGUUUGUCUUUGUUGGGAUGUACCAUUGCGUUGAAGCCAAGGCGAUAAGGAAUUUGAGAGACGAGAAGAGAAGGACGGCAACAUAGGAUAUAAACUAUUCUUGUCUUAACUUACGGAUUCAUCGAAGAAACUGUGUUUUAUAGCUUGUUCAGUGUUUCUAUUGGAGAGUGACCUGGUUAACAACAACAUCUAAGCACGUUAUUUCAUAGGAAGAUAAAUGCUUUAUCUUCCAUUUUUAGCGGCGUUUGGAUAAAAAACGCCGCUAAAGAUCGAGCAUUAGCGGCGCUUUUUGGAAAACGCCGCUAAAGAUCGAGAUUUAGCGGCGGUUUAUGGAAAACGCCGCUAAAAAUAAGCAUUAGCGGCGUUUUCAAUAAAGCGCCGCAAAAAAUCUAAGCCCAACGACACCGCUUUUUAGCUUUCGGGGAUUUAGCGGCGUUUUUGGGAAAGCGCCGCUAAUGUCCAGGCCUUUAGCGGCGUUUUUGUGAAAGCGCCGCUAAUGCCCAGGCCUUUAGCGGCGUUUUUGUGAAAGCGCCGCUGAAAGCGCCGCUAAUGCCAAGGGCUUUAGCGGCGUUUUUGGGAAAGCGCCGCUAAUAAUGCUCAGGGAUUUAAAAUAAUUUAAAAUAUUUGUUAAAAAUGGAAAAAAUAAAAUACUAUUAUUUAAAAUAAUUUUAAAGUUUUUUGGUUACAUCACUAAUUUUUUAAUUUAUAUAUUAAAUAAUUUCUUAUAUAAUUGUAAAAGAGAUAGUAUUAAUUUUAAAAUAUUGAAUUAAUUAUCACUAAAUAAUUUCUUAUAUAAUCGUAAAAGAGAUAGUAUUAAUUUUAAAAAAUAUUGAAUUAAUUAUCACUAUAGUUUAGGGUUUUUGGGUUUAGGGUAUAUGGUUUAAAUAGGUUUAGGUGUUACCAUUUUAAGGUUUAUGGAUUUUGGGUUUAGGUCCUUGGUUUAGGGUAUAUGCAUGGUUUAGGUGUUGCCAUUUUAAGGUUUAUGGAUUAUGGGUUUAGGGAUUAUGGGUUAUGGGUUAUGGUUUAUGGUUUAUGGUUUAAAGGUUGGGGUUUAAGGUUUAGAGGUUAUGUGUGAAUGGUUUAUGGUUUUAAGGUUUAAAUUUNNNNNNNNNNNNNNNNNNNNNNNNNNNNNNNNNNNNNNNNNNNNNNNNNNNNNNNNNNNNNNNNNNNNNNNNNNNNNNNNNNNNNNNNNNNNNNNNNNNNNNNNNNNNNNNNNNNNNNNNNNNNNNNNNNNNNNNNNNNNNNNNNNNNNNNNNNNNNNNNNNNNNNNNNNNNNNNNNNNNNNNNNNNNNNNNNNNNNNNNNNNNNNNNNNNNNNNNNNNNNNNNNNNNNNNNNNNNNNNNNNNNNNNNNNNNNNNNNNNNNNNNNNNNNNNNNNNNNNNNNNNNNNNNNNNNNNNNNNNNNNNNNNNNNNNNNNNNNNNNNNNNNNNNNCCAAGCUGUGCCAAUGCCCAAUUUAAAAAAAUUUUCCAACUUCAAGCUCGUUUUACCCGAAUCACCCAUUUCAUUGUUUAAAAACAAUAAAAAAUAUUUUAUAUUUAAAUUUAAUUAUUAAAAACAAUGUCAAUAUAACUUGUUAAUAUUUUUAUUAUUUUAAAUGGUAAAACUGGCUAAGUUUGGCUAGCCUAAGAUUAAAAAAUAUAAAUCUAAGCCUAACCAUAUUUUGGACUAGGUGGGUUGUAUGGGUAGUGAACAUUUCUAAUUAUCAUUUAAAGAGUAAAUAACAUAUAUUUUUCUAAAUUUUGAAAGGUUUUAUAUUUUUCGUGAUUUAAAAUUUUAAGAUCAAUUUUAAAAGAUUUUAAAUUUUUUAGAAAUUUUAAAAAGAUUUUAAACUUUUAUUUUUAUAAUAUUUAUUUACUUUCAAAGAAUAUACCAAAUUAAUAAAAAUUACAAACAUUAAAGACUACAAAAUUAUUUUACCAUUUUUUAAUAAGGUGCCUUAAAAAUGUUGCAUUUAUUAUAUAUAAUAAUAUUAUAAUUUUCCUCAAAAUAUAUACAAAUAAUAUUAUAUAUUUUAUCAUUUUAUUCAAAAUAAAAUGAUUUUUUGCGGCGUUUUUAUUAAAAACGCCACAAAAAAAUAAGUAAAUCAAAAUCCCGCUCAGUCCAAAAAAUGAAUUUUGGUUACCCGCUCGUUAGUCCCUCUUCUUCUCAUCUCCAUCGUGCGCCCUAAAUCCCCAAAUAAAAGUUUGUUUUUUCUUCAGCUGAAAUCCCCCAAAUUUCCCAUUUCCUACAACACCAGUCAAUACACCUACACCAAUCACACUUCUUUUUCCUUUUCAUUUCACUGCACUGAAUUCACUCACCAUAGCUACUCCUUUUCUCUCGAUCUGUUAGGGUUUUUGCGCUUUGUUUUCCCCCCUUUCUUUUACAUUGCCUUUACUAAGACGCCAUUGGCUGUUCGCUGAAAUAAAGAGAUAAAAAAAA